This 498-nucleotide ribosomal RNA is filed under the name uncultured bacterium. RNAcentral's name for it is "partial 16S ribosomal RNA". It matches the Rfam family "Bacterial small subunit ribosomal RNA", at positions 29 to 523 of the family's 1533-position model. The record is from RNAcentral.
AUUGAACGCUGGCGGCAUGCCUUACACAUGCAAGUCGAACGGCAGCACGGGGCAACCUGGUGGCGAGUGGCGAACGGGUGAGUAAUGCAUCGGAACGUACCUUUCAGUGGGGGAUAACGUAGCGAAAGUUACGCUAAUACCGCAUAUUCUGUGAGCAGGAAAGCAGGGGAUCGCAAGACCUUGCGCUGAUUGAGCGGCCGAUGUCAGAUUAGCUAGUUGGUGAGGUAAAGGCUCACCAAGGCGACGAGCUGUAGCGGGUCUGAGAGGAUGAUCCGCCACACUGGAACGGAGACACGGUCCAGACCCCUACGGGAGGCAGCAGGGGGGAAUUUUGGACAAUGGGGGCAACCCUGAUCCGGCCAUGCCGCGUGAGUGAAGAAGGCCUUCGGGUUGUAAAGCUCUUUCGGCCGGGAAGAAAUCGCACGGGCUAAUACCCUGUGUGGAUGACGGUACCGGAAUAAGAAGCACCGGCUAACUACGUGCCAGCCGCCGCAGUAA